AGGGGCUGCUGGUGAAGUGGAUACGCGGUGCUUCAAAUGCCGGAUUGGAACUGUCUAUUUGAUGAACUAUCACAAGAUCAAGCAUGCCAUCUAAAACAAGUUCAGCCAACAGUGCAGGGAGCAGGGGCAAUGACCCAGAUCACCCUGAGGACAUCAUCCCCAUGGUCCUGACGUCUGCCACUCAAGAGCUGUUUGGUUGCCGUGCUGAUGAGGAUGUCACAGGGGAGAACCCUUACAAGCUUCUGAAAAAAGAUGACAUCUUAGAGGACAUGAAGACAAAAGCUGCAGUGUCCGAUUUCAGCCCCGUGAAGCAGAUUAUUCUGGAUUACCCAGAGAGUGAGCUUUUGUUGGUUUUUGACAGGGACUUUACCUAUGGCCAAUGCUUCUACCUGGUUGUGACACCAGAAGCAAAGGAAAGAAUCCUCAAUCCCCCAGAACCGGAGCCUGAAGAAGAUUUCAAUGAAAUAAUUAAAACCCCAGAACCAAAGGAAUGGAUUUCUCUUGGCAGUGAACAGGAAAUUGAUGAAGAAUCUGUCAGAGAGACAAGAGCAAAGCUUUUGUACAAGUUCUCCAGAGCUCGAAAGGAGUUUGGAAUGCCAGUCUCUUUUUCAGACCGCAAUGUUGCAGAUGCCAAGGAUGGCAACGUGGAGUGCGCAUCCUAUCAAGACAGGAGAUUUAACAUCAACCUGAUGCAGAGGGACUGUGGCGUGCAGGCGAUCCCCAUUCUCCAGAGUAGCAGUGCUCAGACACAGUGGAAGUAUAUGAGGAAUAAUUGUACACAGUACACACCAGCAGAACUGAACCAAAAUGAGAAGGACAAGACACAAGAACCGCAAAACCUAAGUGAUUUCUGCAAAACAGUGACCGGAAGGGUUCUUCAUGCUCUUCAGCAAGAGGAUAUUAUGAAUGUGUUCAAAGAUGACUGGAUGGAUUUGGGGACAGAAACAGAGGACACUGACUGGUCUGGGAAAGUGUCUGAUAUUUUGAUGCUUUAUCAGGCCUUUGCAGACCAGAAGUAUACUCAGGACAAGGGGAUCAGCUGCAUGCAUUGGCAUCCCACCAUCCAUGGUGUGAUAGCUGUAUCAUUGACGGAGAAGACGACGCAGCAGUCGACCAGGUCUACCGGACCUCUCAUUGCAUUUUACAGCUUCUCUGACCCUACUCAUGCUAAGAUACUGCUGGAGUGCCCAGAUGAAAUACUUGCCUUUGAGUUCUGCCCCUCUGAUCCAAAUAUUAUUGUUGGCGGCUGCCUGAACGGCCAGGUUGUGUUGUGGGAAAUAUCUGCUUACGUCCCACGUUUGCUUCCAGUCCCACCUGGUGCUAAACAUGAAUCUGUCAAAACGGGCAUGCUGGACCUUGAAGACAAAAAAGGGAGUAACGCUCCUAUUGCGCGCUACAGUGCAAUGUCUGGAGUGGAGAACAGCCACACCGGACCAAUUACAGAUGUCCACUGGCUGCCUCCAACAUUUGAGGUGACUGCCCAAGGCAUGCCAGUGGAGAACAAAUACAAUAUUUCUGUUCAGCUUAUCACCUGCUCUCCUGAUGGAUCUUUAAUGUUCUGGGAUAUCCGAGUAUCAAAACAGCUCCGCCAGAUGGUAUCAGACAAGAAGCAGAAUGAUUCGGAGCCUCAGAUGGCAAAUUACAGUGACAACAACCCUUUCAAACAUUUGGAGCGGUCAUGGAAACCCUUGUUCAAGGUUUCCACGGUAAACAUGGAUCCCAGCAGGGAAUAUGCCCCUUUAAAAUUCUGCCUUGACCACUAUAGCCGUAAUAACGCUUCGAUCUCAGAAAAUGCUGAAGACCACGAACCAGUGCCGGACUACAGCCAACUGCAGAUGCCCUCAGGCAAAGGACUCACACCUCUGGAAGAUGUAAAUACCAAGAUUUAUAUUGGAACGGAGGAGGGGGAGAUCGUUUACACUGACUGGAAACUGGUGAAAAAUGACCUUGAUCAACUACUCAAUCCCAAGCCCCUUCAUUGUUUUAGAAUACAUCCCUGCCUGGUGAAUACAAUUGACCGCUCACCCUUUUUUAAAGACAUCAUUUUGACUGGAACUUCACUUUAUGGAACCUGCAAUAUUGCCAUUUGGAAGGAAGGAGUGUUGGAUGGACCCCUGUUUUUGUUACCAAGCUUGGAAGGGCUGUGUACAGUGGCUUGCUGGUCUUUGACCCGGCCGGCAUUUUUCUUCGUUGGGAAAGGGGAUGGAAAAAUUGAGGUGUGGAACUUGCUGGAAAAAACAGGAGAAGCCAUGCACGUGCAAGAGCACAUGAGCAACGGGAAGAUAACCUGCAUCGAACCAAAGAUGGUCUCCUCCAAGCAGCACUUCUUGGCUGUGGCUGACGAUGUUGGAGUAGUCCGUGUAUUUCAAAUUCCACCGGUAUUCUACACUGCUUCUAGGAAUGAGAAGUUGAACAUGGGAAAAUGCAUUGACCAGCAGCAAGCGAGGCUGACUGAUCUUUUGAUGAGGAGAGAAUUGUGGCAAAACCAACCAACGCUUGAAGAAAACAAGAAAGUGGAGCCUAAGAAGCCAGAAUCAUCCACAGAAGAAACAGAUGAGAUGAAAGAAUACGAUGAUUUUCUAGUGCUAGAGGAGAGCGUUCUGAAAGGCAUGGGACUGACGCCAUAAGCUGGUCCUCUCUCCUCAACGGAGCCUCUCACUUUCUCCCUGGCCAGCUCUGGAAUGUGCCUUCUGCAAUCCAACACACACAGACACACACGUGUCUUCCCCAUGGCUGGUUAGUUAUUAUAAUGACUGACACAAAGAAUGUGCUGCAGUGCUGUAAGCACAAACGCAACAUACAGACAGAAAAGUUUUUUCAGCAGUCCCAGUAAAGGCUUCAUUAUGCUACAGCAUCGCCAGUGCCGGCAUAAGACGCCAGCUGGCUCCACCCCCUCCAAACCCUUCGGCGGAGUUUGAUGUGCACCUCCAAAAAAUUCUAACCUCGCAUCAAUGCCAACGUCAUCACAACAGAUGGUUGGACAUUGAGAAGGAGAAAAAAAAAUCUAAAUCAACAUGAACCUGUGUGAAAGUGAUUGUCCACUAAACCUGAUAACUGGGACUCCAGCAAACCACAGUGAGAGGUAUUAUCCACAAACGGCGAAAACAUGGAACAGUGGUGAACCUUCACAGGAGUGGCUGGCCAACGUAAAUUAGCGACGACUUAUCCAAGAGGUCACAAAAGACCCCACAACAACAUCCAAACAACUGCAGGCCGCACUUGCCUCAGUUAAGGUCAGUGUUCAUGACUCCACGAAAAAGAAAGACACAGGGCAAAAAUGGCUUGCAUGGCAUUUGCGUACCAAGUUGGAACUCUGUAGAGCAGUGGUGUCCAAAGUGCUGCCUGGGGGCCAUUUGUGGCCCAGAGCUGGGUUUUUUUUUACCCACAGCACCAAAAAUGAGAGAAGUUGUGAUGUGACAAGAAAAGUCUUCAUUUUUACAAGAAUAACAUAAUAUUAUGAGGAAAAAUGUUUAUUUUAGUAACAUGCAGUUUAAAUAUUAAAGAAAAAAAAUAUGUUUUUUAACUAACAUAACAUAACAUGAGAAAUAAAACAACGUUUUUGGAAAAUUGGAUUGUGGAAAAGGUUAUGAGAGUAAAGCCAAAAU
This is an RNA transcript of Dunckerocampus dactyliophorus (ringed pipefish), 3605 nucleotides long. It is a transcript of the gene named dynein axonemal intermediate chain 3, with no coding region annotated. The record is from RefSeq and is a predicted model, not a curated record. NCBI's taxonomy places the organism in Eukaryota, Metazoa, Chordata, Actinopteri, Syngnathiformes, Syngnathidae. The transcript is spliced from 25 exons.